AACGAACGCUGGCGGCAGGCCUAACACAUGCAAGUCGAGCGCGCCCUUCGGGGUGAGCGGCGGACGGGUGAGUAACGCGUGGGAACGUGCCCUUUUCUACGGAAUAGCCUCGGGAAACUGAGAGUAAUACCGUAUACGCCCUUUGGGGGAAAGAUUUAUCGGAAAAGGAUCGGCCCGCGUUGGAUUAGGUAGUUGGUGGGGUAAUGGCCUACCAAGCCGACGAUCCAUAGCUGGUUUGAGAGGAUGAUCAGCCACACUGGGACUGAGACACGGCCCAGACUCCUACGGGAGGCAGGAGUGGGGAAUCUUAGACCAUGGGGGCAACCCUGAUCUAGCCAUGCCGCGUGAGUGAUGAAGGCCUUAGGGUUGUAAAGCUCUUUCAGCUGGGAAGAUAAUGACGGUACCAGCAGAAGAAGCCCCGGCUAACUCCGUG
Molecule: ribosomal RNA, 433 nt
Filed under: uncultured bacterium
Lineage: Bacteria
Description: partial 16S ribosomal RNA
Rfam family: Bacterial small subunit ribosomal RNA
Source: RNAcentral